AGCAGGUAAAAACGCGGACAUAGCUCAGGUGAAACACGCGGACAGAUAGCAGGUAAAACACGCGGACAGAUAGCAGUUGAAACACGCGGACAGAGAGCAGGUAAAACACGCGGACAGAGAGCAGGUGAAACACGCGGACAGAGAGCAGGUAAAACACGCGGUCAGAGAUCAGGUGAAACACGCGGACAGGGAGCAGGUGAAACACGCAGACAGAGAUCAGGUGAAACACGCGAACAGAUAGCAGGUAAAACACGCGGACAGAUAGCAGGUGAAACACGCGGACAGAGAUCAGGUGAAACACGCGGACAGAUAGCAGGUAAAACACGCGGACAGAGAGCAGGUAAAACACGCGGACAGAGAGCAGGUAAAACACGCGGACAGAGAGCAGGUGAAACACGCGGACAGAGAUCAGGUGAAACACGCGGACAGAGAGCCGGUAAAACACGCGGACAGAGAUCAGGUAAAACACGCGGACAGAGAUCAGGUAAAACACGCGGACAGAUAGCAGGUGAAACACGCGGACAGAUAGCAGGUAAAACACGCGGACAGAUAGCAGGUAAAACACGCGGACAGAGAUCAGGUGAAACACGCGGAUAGAGAUCAGGUGAAACACGCGGACAGAUAGCAGGUAAAACACGCGGACAGAGAUCAGGUAAAACACGCGGUUAGAGAUCAGGUGAAACACGCGGACAGGGAGCAGGUGAAACACACGGAGAGUGAUCAGGUGGAAUAAGCGGAUACGGGUCUAUACAUGCCUAUACACACAAUGAGGAUCUACGAGAAAACCUGAAGCGACCUGCGUGCGCGUGUGUGUGUGCGAGUGCGUGCCUGCGAGCGUAUGUGAACAGAUUUUGGGACAAACAAACCACCGUCAAUAUCACAUUCGUAAAUCUGAGCAAUGCAGAGUUUCGGUCAAUAUAGGAAUCUAUAUAUAUAUAUAGGAAGUAGAAAAUAGGCAGCCGUGAUAAUAGGCAGCCGUGAGUGCGCAACUACGCGUGAACACUUAAACGAAUAACUGAACGAUAGCAUCUACAAGAAAAUUUAUAGCGAGACUAUAACUAGGCCUAGGCUACUAUAUUAUGGUUUCACCCGUCAUGCACUUGUUACUAUGACAGACGUGACCACAGAAAUCUCUGAGCGGGUUAACGACAAACGGCGCAGCAACUAAGCAUGCAUGGCCUCUAUAGCUUCAACAGCAGCGGUUUCCAACCCGAGGUGCCAACCCACAGUAACGUACAGCAGCUCUCGAAAGCUGAAGGCAGAGAAUACGCACGCGCGGAAAUUCGCCGUCUUACACACAGUGCCGCAAAGUGUUACCAGUGCGCACAUACCUCGCACAGGCGGCAAAUAUGAUCCUACAACAAAAUAGCCCGAGUAUGCGUCAACAACAUUUUCAGUGUGUGGCCGUUAUACGGGACCAGUUACGCACUAACCCGGAACAGGUUUGACCCCCCCAUGGUCACGCAGUAAGCCAUUUCCCCUUGUGUACCCCGAAGGACUUCAGGUGCAUUUUCGUUCUCAGGACAAUAAUGCAAUAACACUUUUGAGAAUCGGAAGUUAUACUGUCGUUACCGUAUGUUUAUUAUUAAGUAAUCAAAAGUUUUAACAUUUUGAUUAAAAGCAGGACAACUCGGUGGUUGGGCGGUGCUGUUGGUGGUUAAUUAAGGGUCGCUACACAAAAGGGUUGGAACCACUUCUCUACGAUCUAUACGACACGUGAUACCGAAAUCUACGAAUGAAAACUAUCAGUGGUCGCUAUAGAAUAGUGUUCGGGGAUGAUUCGUGCCUCGCUAACGCUGGAAGGUGUUUCUACAUUAGAUGAUGUACCUUCGCACGGUCUUCUUACUAGGCGACCAACACGCUGGAUGCACCGUGAGGGUCAUGGCGACCCUUGUUAU
Priapulus caudatus is the source of this 1898-nucleotide long non-coding RNA. RefSeq lists it as uncharacterized. The record is from RefSeq and is a predicted model, not a curated record. Lineage: Eukaryota; Metazoa; Priapulida; Priapulimorpha; Priapulimorphida; Priapulidae. The transcript is spliced from 3 exons.